This 204-nucleotide ribosomal RNA is filed under the name Cryptosporidium meleagridis. Its description in RNAcentral is "partial 18S ribosomal RNA". It matches the Rfam family "Eukaryotic small subunit ribosomal RNA", at positions 322 to 534 of the family's 1831-position model. The record is from RNAcentral. Lineage: Eukaryota; Apicomplexa; Conoidasida; Eucoccidiorida; Cryptosporidiidae.
UAAACGGUAGGGUAUUGGCCUACCGUGGCAAUGACGGGUAACGGGGAAUUAGGGUUCGAUUCCGGAGAGGGAGCCUGAGAAACGGCUACCACAUCUAAGGAAGGCAGCAGGCGCGCAAAUUACCCAAUCCUAAUACAGGGAGGUAGUGACAAGAAAUAACAAUACAGGACUUUUUGGUUUUGUAAUGGAAUGAGUUUAAAACGU